UGCCGAGGGUAGACCUCCCACCCUUGUGUAUUAUUACUUUGUUGCUUUGGCGAGCUGCCUUUGGGCCUUGUAUGCUCGCCAGAGAAUACCAAAACUCUUUUUAUUAAUGUCGUCUGAGUACUAUAUAAUAGUUAAAACUUUCAACAACGGAUCUCUUGGUUCUGGCAUCGAUGAAGAACGCAGCGAAAUGCGAUAAGUAAUGUGAAUUGCAGAAUUCAGUGAAUCAUCGAAUCUUUGAACGCACAUUGCGCCCCUUGGUAUUCCGGGGGGCAUGCCUGUUCGAGCGUCAUUUCAACCCUCAAGCUUAGCUUGGUAUUGAGUCUAUGUCAGUAAUGGCAGGCUCUAAAAUCAGUGGCGGCGCCGCUGGGUCCUGAACGUAGUAAUAUCUCUCGUUACAGGUUCUCGGUGUGCUUCUGCCAAAACCCAAAUUUUUCUAUGGUUGACCUCGGAUCAGGUAGGGAUACCCGCUGAACUUAAGCAUAUCAAUAAGCGGAGG
RNAcentral lists this ribosomal RNA (496 nucleotides) under Botrytis cinerea. Its description in RNAcentral is "eukaryotic LSU rRNA". The stretch from base 136 to 289 matches the Rfam family "5.8S ribosomal RNA". The record is from RNAcentral. Lineage: Eukaryota; Fungi; Ascomycota; Leotiomycetes; Helotiales; Sclerotiniaceae.